RNAcentral lists this ribosomal RNA (756 nucleotides) under Bacillus licheniformis. RNAcentral's name for it is "bacterial SSU rRNA". It matches the Rfam family "Bacterial small subunit ribosomal RNA", at positions 63 to 801 of the family's 1533-position model. Lineage: Bacteria; Bacillati; Bacillota; Bacilli; Caryophanales; Bacillaceae. The record is from RNAcentral.
CGAGCGGACAGAUGGGAGCUUGCUCCCUGAUGUUAGCGGCGGACGGGUGAGUAACACGUGGGUAACCUGCCUGUAAGACUGGGAUAACUCCGGGAAACCGGGGCUAAUACCGGAUGGUUGUUUGAACCGCAUGGUUCAAACAUAAAAGGUGGCUUCGGCUACCACUUACAGAUGGACCCGCGGCGCAUUAGCUAGUUGGUGAGGUAACGGCUCACCAAGGCGACGAUGCGUAGCCGACCUGAGAGGGUGAUCGGCCACACUGGGACUGAGACACGGCCCAGACUCCUACGGGAGGCAGCAGUAGGGAAUCUUCCGCAAUGGACGAAAGUCUGACGGAGCAACGCCGCGUGAGUGAUGAAGGUUUUCGGAUCGUAAAGCUCUGUUGUUAGGGAAGAACAAGUACCGUUCGAAUAGGGCGGUACCUUGACGGUACCUAACCAGAAAGCCACGGCUAACUACGUGCCAGCAGCCGCGGUAAUACGUAGGUGGCAAGCGUUGUCCGGAAUUAUUGGGCGUAAAGGGCUCGCAGGCGGUUUCUUAAGUCUGAUGUGAAAGCCCCCGGCUCAACCGGGGAGGGUCAUUGGAAACUGGGGAACUUGAGUGCAGAAGAGGAGAGUGGAAUUCCACGUGUAGCGGUGAAAUGCGUAGAGAUGUGGAGGAACACCAGUGGCGAAGGCGACUCUCUGGUCUGUAACUGACGCUGAGGAGCGAAAGCGUGGGGAGCGAACAGGAUUAGAUACCCUGGUAGUCCACGCC